GACGAACGCUGGCGGCGUGCUUAACACAUGCAAGUCGAACGGAAAGGCCCCUUUGGGGGUACUCGAGUGGCGAACGGGUGAGUAACACGUGAGUAACCUGCCCUUGACUUCGGGAUAACUUCAGGAAACUGGGGCUAAUACCGGAUAGGAAUCCUUGCUGCAUGGUGGGGGUUGUAAAGCUUCGGCGGUUUUGGAUGGACUCGCGGCUUAUCAGCUUGUUGGUGGGGUAGUGGCUUACCAAGGCUUUGACGGGUAGCCGGCCUGAGAGGGCGACCGGCCACAUUGGGACUGAGAUACGGCCCAGACUCCUACGGGAGGCAGCAGUGGGGAAUAUUGCACAAUGGGCGGAAGCCUGAUGCAGCAACGCCGCGUGCGGGAUGACGGCCUUCGGGUUGUAAACCGCUUUCAGCAGGGGCGAAGCUUGUGGUGACGGUACCUGCAGAAGAAGCACCGGCUAACUACGUG
This 465-nucleotide ribosomal RNA is filed under the name uncultured bacterium. RNAcentral describes it as "partial 16S ribosomal RNA". It matches the Rfam family "Bacterial small subunit ribosomal RNA", at positions 28 to 507 of the family's 1533-position model. The record is from RNAcentral.